GUAAUAAUCAAAGAACCCGAAGACGAGCGACCUAGGCCUGAGCAGGUUGAAGGGUGGAUAAAUUCUGCCGCGGAAGACCGAACCCGUGACUGUGGCAAUAGUCUGGGAUGACUUGGGUCUAGGAGUGAAAGGCUAAUCAAGCUCGUGCAUAGCUGGUUUUCGGCGAAACACAUUUAGGUGUGGCGUUGUUGAACAAUUGUAGAAUUUAUGGAAAUUCCUGGGUGUGGGUGGGUCUAAGCUGCUACGCUCCCGUGAAAACUCUGAAUUUUUGCAAAGUUUACAACAAUAGAAAGGCUCUGGGUGCGAAGGUCCAGAGCCAAAAGGGAAACAGCCCCUAAAGCAUGUUAAGGUCCUUAAAGAAGAGCUUCGUGGAAACAAGAGUUUAAAAGCAUAAACCCUCCAUAGGUAGGCUUGGAAGCAGCCAGUCUGGAAUGAAAGCGUAAUGGCUCAUGGAGAGAGCUUCGAAGCAUUCGAUAUAUCCGGGGCCAAAGCUCUUUACCUAUACAGCUUUUGCAUUU
Molecule: ribosomal RNA, 518 nt
Filed under: Tetradesmus obliquus
Lineage: Eukaryota; Viridiplantae; Chlorophyta; Chlorophyceae; Sphaeropleales; Scenedesmaceae
Description: LSU rRNA
Rfam family: Bacterial large subunit ribosomal RNA
Source: RNAcentral